Molecule: long non-coding RNA, 599 nt
Filed under: Callithrix jacchus (white-tufted-ear marmoset)
Lineage: Eukaryota; Metazoa; Chordata; Mammalia; Primates; Cebidae
Description: lncRNA (ENSCJAG00000051914.2)
Source: RNAcentral
GCUGUGUAACAAGGGAUUCUAGAACUUUAAGGCCCAAACAAAUCACCUGAGAAUCUUACUGAAGUGCAGAUUCUUGUUCUAGAGGUCUGUAGAAGCCCCAUGAUGUUGAGUUUUUACAAAUCCUCUACAAUGCCAGUGCUGCUGACCUUUGGAUGUUGAUUUUGGAAGCAGUGCUGUGGGCAAGAUGACUGAUAGGCUUACCCUGGACAAAAACAAAAAUGACAGGAGCAUUAAAACAUGUCAAGGGCAGGAGCUGACUGGGAAGCCAAAGUCCUGCAAAGCAAAGGGGAAUUCACACACCUGAAAGGACUGGGAGGAGGGGCAGAAAUGCAGAAGCUUGUGGAUUGAGCACAAUUAUUCUCAGAGGGCCUAGUCCAGAAACACUGAUGUUAUGGAUAAGAGGAGGUUAACUGGAUAUUGGGAUUGCCUAUUUACAUUUCUCUGAUCUAUGCUCCAGUGAAAUUAAACAAAAAUUUUUACUAAAACUUAAACUUGCAGAGUGAAGAUUUUUGUCUGUUUGGUUUACUUCUUUGUCACCAGCAAGUAUCUAAACACUUUUUGACUCAUAGUUACCCCCCAAAUAUUUGCUGAAUAAAAAC